CGUGCUUAACACAUGCAAGUCGAGCGGUAAGGCCCUUCGGGGUACACGAGCGGCGAACGGGUGAGUAACACGUGGGUGAUCUACCCUGUACUUCGGGAUAAGCCUGGGAAACUGGGUCUAAUACCGGAUAUGACCUUCCGAUGCAUGUCGGUGGGUGGAAAGAUUUAUCGGUACAGGAUGGGCCCGCGGCCUAUCAGCUUGUUGGUGGGGUAAUGGCCUACCAAGGCGACGACGGGUAGCCGGCCUGAGAGGGCGACCGGCCACACUGGGACUGAGACACGGCCCAGACUCCUACGGGAGGCAGCAGUGGGGAAUAUUGCACAAUGGGCGAAAGCCUGAUGCAGCGACGCCGCGUGAGGGAUGACGGCCUUCGGGUUGUAAACCUCUUUCGACAGGGACGAAGCGCAAGUGACGGUACCUGUAGAAGAAGCACCGGCCAACUACGUGCCAGCAGCCGCGGUAAUACGUAGGGUGCGAGCGUUGUCCGGAAUUACUGGGCGUAAAGAGCUUGUAGGCGGUUUGUCGCGUCGUCCGUGAAAACUUGGGGCUCAACCCCAAGCUUGCGGGCGAUACGGGCAGACUUGAGUACUGCAGGGGAGACUGGAAUUCCUGGUGUAGCGGUGAAAUGCGCAGAUAUCAGGAGGAACACCGGUGGCGAAGGCGGGUCUCUGGGCAGUAACUGACGCUGAGAAGCGAAAGCGUGGGUAGCGAACAGGAUUAGAUACCCU
Molecule: ribosomal RNA, 728 nt
Filed under: Nocardia sp. 201262301
Lineage: Bacteria; Bacillati; Actinomycetota; Actinomycetes; Mycobacteriales; Nocardiaceae
Description: bacterial SSU rRNA
Rfam family: Bacterial small subunit ribosomal RNA
Source: RNAcentral